Molecule: long non-coding RNA, 1420 nt
Filed under: Homo sapiens (human)
Lineage: Eukaryota; Metazoa; Chordata; Mammalia; Primates; Hominidae
Description: HSALNT0404609
Source: RNAcentral
CAGCGAGCACGUGAGCGCAGAGCCAGCUCCGGAGCGCUACGGCGCGCGUGGCGGCACACCUGCUCCCCGAGGCUGAUCGUUAACAGCCGUGGGCAGGGGUUGGGCCAGGGUACAGCUGUCAGGACCUCACUGGACAGGACCGGAGAGGACCCCGCGUAACCGCGGAACAGACACUCCCGGCAGCGGCCGCCGCCGCGGCACUGCUACGGGACGAGCCGGAGCGCUUGGCCAUGGCGGCCCGAUCCGCACUGGCGCUGCUGCUGCUGCUGCCAGUCCUGCUCCUGCCGGUGCAGAGCCGCUCAGAGCCCGAGACCACCGCGCCCACCCCUACCCCAAUCCCGGGUGGCAACUCGUCAGUGAGCAGGCCCCUGCCCAGCAUCGAGCUCCACGCCUGCGGCCCAUACCCCAAACCAGGCCUGCUCAUCCUGCUGGCCCCGCUGGCCCUGUGGCCCAUUCUCCUGUAGGGACGCCCAGCCAGCCACCUCUAAGUCGCCGCUGGGACUGGCCUGCCCCAUUGAGCAACAGAGACGCUUGACAGCCGCCCGCCUCCAUUCCUUGACUUCACCCAGAAAUGGGUCCAGAAAACUGAAUCCCACCAGCACUGGUUUGGAGCAACCGGACACCGAGGUUUCACCUCCAGGGAUUCCAUGAAGAGCCUCAAUGGAGAUGCCACAUCCUACUGAGUUAAAGAUGGGCUGAGGAACUUGGGUACCCACAAGUCUGCCUUGGGAAUCAAAAGAAAAUAUUUACCUUUAGUUUGGUUCAUUAAAUGCAUGAAGUCAAAAUAUGACCAGAGACACCCCUUCCUGCCUCACCACCUCUCAGCUGGAACGUCAGGCUGGAGACAUGACCCAAGGAGCCAAGCCCGAGAAGGAAACGUGCACCCUGAAACAGCGGGAUGCAGAACCCUGAAACAGCGGGAUGCAGAACCCUGAAACAGCAGGAUGCAGAACCCUGAAACAGCGGGAUGGAGAGACAGAAGCCUCGGGAAACGUGGACGACAAUGGUAAGACCUAGUUCCAGAGUCACAGCAUGAAACGCAAGAGGCGGCAGAAAAACCCACAAGUCAGAGAACAGCAGCUGUGUGGCCCAGAGGGCUCGGCACCCACAGAAAGCCGGGUCCUCUCUUCCUCUUGUCAAGGACGUCAGGCAGAGGCCUGUGGAAACCUGCCAAUGGGAGCAGUCGCCAGACCUAGAAGAGCCAAGCCCGGUGUGCCCUCGCCUGGAGUUGUGAGAAAAGUCCCUGUAGCCCCAGAUCUAGGGCCUCCAACACUCUCCUACCCGAGACUCCUACCCGAGGCUGCCCUGGGAACUGGUGAGAAAAGCCAAAGUGCACCCCAGCAAAGUGCCUGGAUCAGUCCAGUUCCUGAAGCCAAGUGCCGGUGGGGCGAGGUCCAGGCACAGAAUGGGCAGUGGCCAU